RNAcentral lists this transfer RNA (92 nucleotides) under Acidiferrobacteraceae bacterium. RNAcentral describes it as "tRNA-Ser". It matches the Rfam family "tRNA". Rfam says of the family: Transfer RNA (tRNA) molecules are approximately 80 nucleotides in length. Their secondary structure includes four short double-helical elements and three loops (D, anti-codon, and T loops). Lineage: Bacteria; Pseudomonadati; Pseudomonadota; Gammaproteobacteria; Acidiferrobacterales; Acidiferrobacteraceae. The record is from RNAcentral.
GGAGAGGUGGCAGAGUCCGGUUUAAUGUACCGCACUCGAAAUGCGGCGUAGUGGCAACACUACCGAGGGUUCGAAUCCCUCCCUCUCCGCCA